This is a long non-coding RNA of Leptidea sinapis, 1033 nucleotides long. RefSeq lists it as uncharacterized. Lineage: Eukaryota; Metazoa; Arthropoda; Insecta; Lepidoptera; Pieridae. The record is from RefSeq and is a predicted model, not a curated record. The transcript is spliced from 2 exons.
UCAAAUUUCUUUUUCUUUAGAAAUUUUAAGUUUCUGACAUACUCUUUGUAUGAAUUUCAAAAUUCUCGUCAGUGGAACAUUGACAGUAUGUAAUUUCAGCAUAUUUUCUUCUCUUUAUUGCCUCAGUACAUUCGUUAUCCCACCAAGGAGGAGAAGGAAUAAAACCCAAAGAGCUAUUUUUACUUGGAAAUAUCUCAUUGGCAACCUCAAUAAAGAUUCUUGCUAAAGAAUCUGCACACUGAGAUUCUGUACCUGGAUUAAUUUUUGGAAGUGUUGGAAAUGAUAAUAAUAGUGGGAAGUGAUCACUACCAAAAGUAGAUCGUAAUGGAUCCCAGGACAAAGAAGAAGCAAGAUUAGGUGUAGUGACUGUUAAAUCUGGAGCACUUGAGCCCUCGUCAGGAUGAGAACGUCGUGUAGGACGACCAUCAUUUAAUAUACACAAAUUCACCGAAUCAAAUAUAUCUAUUAAUGUGUUACCAUAACUAUUAGAAGAUAAGUAACCCCAGGAUUCAUGGCGACAGUUAAAAUCACCAAGGAUCAUAAAAGGCUUCGGAAGAAUGGAAAUAAUAUCUUUAAUUUCAUUUAAGAUUGCAGAAGAAGGAUGAGGUAUAUAAAUAGAUACAUAACAGAUAUUUUCAACUAAAGCAGCAAUAAUAGAAAAAUCAUUACUGUGAGAAGGAAUAGAGAAGAGAGAAAAGGAAAGAGGGUGUUUCACAAGCAUGGCUACUCCGCCAUGCCCAUCCACACGAUCUUCUCUGAGACAUGAAUAACCACGAAUCUUAAAUAAAGAUCCUGGUUUCAACCAUGUCUCUUGAAGAGAACAGAUAUAAGGUUUAUAUUUAUUUAAUAAAUAAAUAAGAUCACAUUUUUUUUAGGAGUGAUGCUUUGACAAUUCCAUUGAAGAACUUUGUCCAUUAUUUGGUUUAUAAAUUUGAGUAAUUGCAGAAACUAAUAAGGCAGCGUUGGAUGGUGAAAAUUCAUUCGAUUGACUAAGAGAUUUUAUAAGAGAAAUAAUUAAAUCAAUUACUGAGGA